Molecule: non-coding RNA, 112 nt
Filed under: Palpitomonas bilix
Lineage: Eukaryota
Source: RNAcentral
CACUAAAUAGGAGAGGAAAAAGUAAAAAUAAAAAAGGGGAGGAAAGGGAUCAAAAUAGCGCGGUGCGGUCCAUCUCAACCUGUCUUCUUCCUUUUUGUUCCCUUCUUUUUUU